CCCCUCUCUUUCCGUCUCUAUACUCUCAAACCCCAAACCCUAGCCGCCCCCUUAUUCCAUGCCGGCUCCACCUCUCUCCGCCGCCCGAAAAUUGCCUUAAAGUGGCAGAACAUCAACAAACAACCUCAAAUUAACACCCUGUAAUUCUGAGCCACUCACAAACACUAUCCUACUAUCAAUUUCCCCAAAAUCACCACCCAAAUCCGCCAAUUUCAUAUCUGAAAUCUAAACCUAAAAACGCUAAAUCACCCAAAUAGCCCCAAACUCACACCAUAGGACCCUUAACCUCCCCUCACCACUGUCCUGCCCUUGAUUCCCAGAAAAUCCCCGCCAAAGUUCUCGAAUCUUAAAUCUACGAAGAACCAGAAAUCCUGGUUCUAUUUUUCUUUCACUUUUCGAGUUUCUUUGGAUUGCUUCCAGACUCGACUUAGUUGAAAGACCAUGCUAAUAAAUCAUUCUCAACAAGAACGGUUGGUUAGCAUAAUUUUUAGCUAUAUCGAAGAUUUUCUGAACUGCCAGACUCCUCUUGGUAUUUUCUUUAACCCUUUUCCUUGUUUCAUUAUUUUUGUUUCCUUAAUUUUUGCAUGUGAAUAAUCAUGAGUAAUUUAGUUCAUUUCUGUACAAGUUAUUUAGUUCACUGCUUAGGCUAGUACUAAAAAAUUUCAAAGAAUGUUUAACUGUUAGAAAAUUAUUUUAGUUGCGUAGCUUAUUUAAUUCGAUCACAGUGUAGGUUAAUUAGGUUAAUUAUUAUAUUUCAUUACAUUACCAUGCUUGUUUCCUUAUUUGUUAUUGUGUUCUUGCCAUCUGUAUUUGUUUAAAUCCAGUUCUUGUUUAGGGUUAAUUAGAUAAGCACUUUUAUUUACUUAUUAGGUUAUUUUUUAGGUUUAAAUUGCAUCAUCUUGAUUCUGUUUGUCAUGUUUUAUUUGUAUCUUGAUCCCGUUUGGCUUUGCCUCUGUUUGCCUUGAUUUGUAACUCACAAGAAACUUGAAUGGGCCUAAUUAAACUAAAAGAAAAAUUUAGGAGGAUUUCAGAACUUUAGAAAACAAAUAUCUAAAAGAAGAAAGGUCUAGAAGUGUAUCAGCUGUUCAAAAUUGGUUUUAAAAGAUGCUAAAAAAUGGACAGUUGGACAUUAUUCUCUGUCAAUAUGUUGUACUAUCUAAAGAACUUAGGGUAGAAUAUUCUUUGGAUGCUCUUUUUGAUAUACACUAUAAAAAAAAUGCCCUUCAAUCAUUCUCGGGGGAGGUUUUCAGCAUUUUCUGCACCUAAAAAACUUUCAGAAUACAAGGAACAAAUCCCAGAAAUUUUUCUGGAAAAACUUCAGUUUUCUAGGGUAGAUUUCUAGGUUAUUUCUCUGGUACUCUGAUUUUCUAGGAAUUUUGAAGUGCUGGUUCUUGGUUUUUUCUGGGCUGCCUUUCUACUGUUGCUGUGAUGUUUGUUCCUGUUGGUUAUCUCCUUCAUAGUUUCAAUUCGAGGUUCAUUGUGUGUCACUUUGAUUCUUGUUAUUAUAGGUAUGUAGUUCCUUUAUCUAAAAUCCUCCAUUGGUUCAUAAAUGAGAUAUGGUGUUCAAUUAGAAAAAUGUUUGCUUCUUCUGCCUAUAGUUUUAUAUACUUGUUUCAAGCUCAUUUUAUUUUAUUCAAUGAAUGGCGCUCCUCUGAAAUUCCAAGCCAGUUGCUUUCUUGUGAAAAAUGAUUCUGCCAUGUUUUGUGUAUGAAUCAUGCCUCAUGAGUUAUGCCAAGUUGAUCAUUUCGUCAAUAUUAGCUAUUGCUUACUUUCUUGUAGUCAUGUGAUGCUAAAUAGACCUCCUUUGUAAUGAGACUUUAAUCUUUUUUCUGAUUGUAUAUGAGAGGAAAGCCUCAGAACUAUUUGGGAGCUGGAAUCAAAGGCUGAUUUGCAAAGACAACUUUGUAGCUGGUUUUUUGCAAUCUGAAGUUUACUAAAGAGUUCAUAACAAAGGAAAAGCUCAAGACCAUGUUGAAACAUUAUUUGAAAAUUUUUCUUUAGUUGCAUCUAAGAUGUAUUGUAAUUUAAAUCUAUGGACUGUCCACUAACAAACUGAUUUUUGCAUAAAGUUAGUAUGGAGUAGAUUGUAAUAUUUUUCUUUAAGUUGAUUGUUGUGAUUGAUAGUUGGGGUAAAGUAUCUUAGUAAAGCUUAUGUUCAAGUAGUCCAUUGUUAUAUAUAUAACAUGCUUUCUUAGAAUAGUUAGAAUGGGGGCCAUACGAGUUGGGCCAGACUUGCAACAAGGUCCAAUCUAGGAAUCACCAGAGCAAGUCUGGGCCCAGGCAGAUGGGCCUGGGCAUUAAACCCAAUAGUUUGACCCUCAAGUAUAAGCUUUCCUUGUGAGCUAUAGUAUAAAACGCAUUUCCUUUAUGUCUGGC
Molecule: long non-coding RNA, 2376 nt
Filed under: Nicotiana tabacum (common tobacco)
Lineage: Eukaryota; Viridiplantae; Streptophyta; Magnoliopsida; Solanales; Solanaceae
Description: long non-coding RNA (NTAB_LNC000797)
Source: RNAcentral